CACCUCUAGCAUUACUAGUAUUAGAGGCACUGCCUGCCCAGUGACACACGUUUAACGGCCGCGGUACCCUGACCGUGCAAAGGUAGCAUAAUCACUUGUUCUUUAAAUGGGGACUCGCAUGAAAGGCACCACGAGGGUUUAACUGUCUCUUACUUUUAACCAGUGAAAUUGACCUGCCCGCGAAGAGGCGGGCAUAAAAUAAUAAGACGAGAAGACCCUAUGGAGCUUUAAUCUAUUAAUGCAAUCAAAAACUACACAAACCCACGGACCUUUAAACUACCGACACCUGCAUUAAAAAUUUUGGUUGGGGCGACCUCGGAGCACAACAAAACCUCCGAAUAACACAUGCUAAGACCACACAAGUCAAAGCGAACUAAUACUUACAAUUGAUCCAAUAAUUUGAUCAACGGAACAAGUUACCCUAGGGAUAACAGCGCAAUUCUAUUCUAGAGUCCAUAUCGACAAUAGAGCUUACGACCUCGAUGUUGGAUCAGGACAUCCUAAUGGUGCAGCAGCUAUCAAGGGUUCGUUUGUUCAACGAUUAAAGUCCU
RNAcentral lists this ribosomal RNA (551 nucleotides) under Macaca mulatta (Rhesus monkey). Its description in RNAcentral is "partial 16S ribosomal RNA". It matches the Rfam family "Bacterial large subunit ribosomal RNA", at positions 1816 to 2597 of the family's 2925-position model. The record is from RNAcentral. Lineage: Eukaryota; Metazoa; Chordata; Mammalia; Primates; Cercopithecidae.